This 429-nucleotide ribosomal RNA is filed under the name Bacteroidota bacterium. RNAcentral's name for it is "Bacteroidetes bacterium partial 16S ribosomal RNA". It matches the Rfam family "Bacterial small subunit ribosomal RNA", at positions 355 to 776 of the family's 1533-position model. The record is from RNAcentral. Lineage: Bacteria; Pseudomonadati; Bacteroidota.
UAGGGAAUCUUCGGCAAUGGGGGGAACCCUGACCGAGCAACGCCGCGUGAGUGAAGAAGGUUUUCGGAUCGUAAAGCCCUGUUGUUAAGGAAGAACGAGUGUGAGAAUGGAAAGUUCAUACUGUGACGGUACUUAACCAGAAAGGGACGGCUAACUACGUGCCAGCAGCCGCGGUAAUACGUAGGUCCCGAGCGUUGUCCGGAUUUAUUGGGCGUAAAGCGAGCGCAGGCGGUUAGAUAAGUCUGAAGUUAAAGGCAGUGGCUCAACCAUUGUAGGCUUUGGAAACUGUUUAACUUGAGUGCAGAAGGGGGGAGGGGAAUUCCAUGUGUAGCGGUGAAAUGCGUAGAUAUAUGGAGGAACGCCGGUGGCGAAAGCGGCUCUCUGGUCUGUAACUGACGCUGAGGCUCGAAAGCGUGGGGAGCGAACAGG